Molecule: unclassified non-coding RNA, 248 nt
Filed under: Hevea brasiliensis (rubber tree)
Lineage: Eukaryota; Viridiplantae; Streptophyta; Magnoliopsida; Malpighiales; Euphorbiaceae
Source: RNAcentral
GUAGCCGACUGACAUUCUUUAGUUUGGGUGUGGGGAUGGAGGCAGCUUCUGGAUUCAAAGCAACUAAAGCCUUGGACAUGUCACAUUCUUGAAGUUCCAUGUUUGCUUGCAUGUAAUUCUGUAGAUUCACAGUCAACUCUUCCAUGUUGAGUUUUAUAGUUGGUAUUUCAUCAGUAUCCUCAUCAUUUAUAUCCUCUAUAUCACUUUCUGUUACUUCAUUGUGUUCUUGUUUUGGUGUUGCUGGCUCU